AUUUCCUACGGGAGGCAGCAGUGGGGAAUAUUGCACAAUGGGGGAAACCCUGAUGCAGCAACGCCGCGUGAGUGAAGAAGGUUUUCGGAUUGUAAAGCUCUGUUAGCAGGGAAGAGGAAGGACGGUACCUGCAGAAGAAGCCCCGGCUAACUACGUGCCAGCAGCCGCGGUAAUACGUAGGGGGCAAGCGUUAUCCGGAUUUACUGGGUGUAAAGGGAGCGUAGGCGGCUGUGUAAGCCAGAAGUGAAAGCCCGAGGCUCAACCACGGGACUGCUUUUGGAACUACAUGGCUUGAUUGCAGGAGA
This 305-nucleotide ribosomal RNA is filed under the name uncultured bacterium. Its description in RNAcentral is "bacterial SSU rRNA". It matches the Rfam family "Bacterial small subunit ribosomal RNA", at positions 334 to 655 of the family's 1533-position model. The record is from RNAcentral.